RNAcentral lists this ribosomal RNA (1395 nucleotides) under Flavobacterium sp. SOC A4(12). RNAcentral describes it as "16S ribosomal RNA". It matches the Rfam family "Bacterial small subunit ribosomal RNA". Lineage: Bacteria; Pseudomonadati; Bacteroidota; Flavobacteriia; Flavobacteriales; Flavobacteriaceae. The record is from RNAcentral.
AUCAUGGCUCAGGAUGAACGCUAGCGGCAGGCUUAACACAUGCAAGUCGAGGGGUAUAGUAGCAAUACUAGAGACCGGCGCACGGGUGCGUAACGCGUAUGCAAUCUACCUUUCACAGAGGGAUAGCCCAGAGAAAUUUGGAUUAAUACCUCAUAGUAUAGUACCUUGGCAUCAAGGAAUUAUUAAAGUCACAACGGUGAAAGAUGAGCAUGCGUCCCAUUAGCUAGUUGGUAAGGUAACGGCUUACCAAGGCGACGAUGGGUAGGGGUCCUGAGAGGGAGAUCCCCCACACUGGUACUGAGACACGGACCAGACUCCUACGGGAGGCAGCAGUGAGGAAUAUUGGACAAUGGGCGCAAGCCUGAUCCAGCCAUGCCGCGUGCAGGAUGACGGUCCUAUGGAUUGUAAACUGCUUUUGUACAGGAAGAAACACUCCCUCGUGAGGGAGCUUGACGGUACUGUAAGAAUAAGGAUCGGCUAACUCCGUGCCAGCAGCCGCGGUAAUACGGAGGAUCCAAGCGUUAUCCGGAAUCAUUGGGUUUAAAGGGUCCGUAGGCGGCUUUAUAAGUCAGUGGUGAAAUCUCCCCGCUCAACGGGGAAACGGCCAUUGAUACUGUAAGGCUUGAAUUAUUAGGAAGUAACUAGAAUAUGUAGUGUAGCGGUGAAAUGCUUAGAGAUUACAUGGAAUACCAAUUGCGAAGGCAGGUUACUACUAAUGGAUUGACGCUGAUGGACGAAAGCGUGGGUAGCGAACAGGAUUAGAUACCCUGGUAGUCCACGCCGUAAACGAUGGAUACUAGCUGUUGGGUGCAAACUCAGUGGCUAAGCGAAAGUGAUAAGUAUCCCACCUGGGGAGUACGUUCGCAAGAAUGAAACUCAAAGGAAUUGACGGGGGCCCGCACAAGCGGUGGAGCAUGUGGUUUAAUUUCGAUGAUACGCGAGGAACCUUACCAAGGCUUAAAUGUAGAUUGACCGGUUUGGAAACAGAUCUUUCGCAAGACAAUUUACAAGGUGCUGCAUGGUUGUCGUCAGCUCGUGCCGUGAGGUGUCAGGUUAAGUCCUAUAACGAGCGCAACCCCUGUCGUUAGUUGCCAGCGAGUCAUGUCGGGAACUCUAACGAGACUGCCAGUGCAAACUGAGAGGAAGGUGGGGAUGACGUCAAAUCAUCACGGCCCUUACGCCUUGGGCUACACACGUGCUACAAUGGCCGGUACAGAGAGCAGCCACUGGGCGACCAGGAGCGAAUCUACAAAACCGGUCACAGUUCGGAUCGGAGUCUGCAACUCGACUCCGUGAAGCUGGAAUCGCUAGUAAUCGGAUAUCAGCCAUGAUCCGGUGAAUACGUUCCCGGGCCUUGUACACACCGCCCGUCAAGCCAUGGAAGCUGGGGGUGCC